RNAcentral lists this long non-coding RNA (2645 nucleotides) under Gossypium barbadense (sea-island cotton). RNAcentral describes it as "long non-coding RNA (GBAR_LNC016101)". Lineage: Eukaryota; Viridiplantae; Streptophyta; Magnoliopsida; Malvales; Malvaceae. The record is from RNAcentral.
UAUCUUCAUUCCUCUUGAAAUAUGAAACAACCAACAUUACAAAUCGUGUCUCGUUUCCACCCAUUCUUUUUCCCAUUCCCAAUCCCCAUAGCCCCAACAAUAAUAUGUAAAAAUCUUACAAUAACAAGCGUCAGAAAAAAAGAAGAAGCGAAAACUAAAAAGAAAGUCAUUUUAUUUUUGGUUCAAGAAGUAGAACCUGAAACUCGAGGUGAAGUAACUGGAAAAAGAGGGAGAAGCCUAGGCUCCGAAUCUCGCGGCGUAGAUGCCGGUGAUGGAUGCAAAUAAAAACCCUUCUCUUUAAUUGCCUUCUCUUCAGCUUCCUUGUCUAGAUUCGCAUUAUUAUUUAUACAAUUCGUAUAAUUGCUGGAUCCAGAACGGUCAAAGGGGUCGGGUAUCAAAGGAGUGACCGGGCUAAGAGCCAGAGAAGGGAAGUCGAGAAUGCUAGGGGAGAGUAUUUCGGGUUUACGAGGCGAAAACCCGGAAUUGUUGGAGCCAAAAGCCGGGUUCAAGGGGUUGAUUUUGAGAUUCUUGAGGGAGCUCCUUCGCUCGUAAAGCCUAAACCCAGAAUUCUGCUUGUUUUUGGGGAUGGAUUUGAUCGGAGGGAUAUGGGUUUUGGGGUUUGAGUCGGAGAGAGGGGAGGGAGUGGGUUUGGUGGAAGAAGCGAGCUUGGCGGUCUCGGAGGAACCGGUGAGCAUCUGGACGACUUGCUUGAAAGAAGAAGUGUCGGCUUGGACGAAGGUCGUCGGGUAGGGGCUGGCGGAUUCAGAUCUGGUGAUUGGUUUGGGCUGUUGAGGCGGUGGAGUUGGCGGUGGCGGGUUCGUGUUGCUGCCGCUGCUUGUGCUGCUGGUGCUGCUGUUGGGACUGAGACUUUUCGGAGAUGCAAGGAUAUUGGGAUUCGUGGUGUGCCUCGGCGAGGUUUCCAUUUUGAUUUUUUGGAGGCGUUUGAAUUUUAGGACCAGAAGAAGAAGAGAAAGGGAGAAGAAAAAGAGGAGAGACUGAGGGAGGAGAUUAGAUGCGAAGAGGAAGAGUUUUUGGUACUUGGAAGAAAUGUUUUGGUGGGGACUUAGGUGUCUUUUUAGUUCUGUCUAAACCCUCAUUAAUGGUUGUACUGCUCACGCGCUUCUAUAAUUAAUUUUGAAGAAAAUUCGGCAGAGGAAAGACUCUUCUCUUCUUUUUGGAUACUUCAAACAUACUUGCAUUGUAAACUUAUUUUUUCAAUUUACUUUUUAUUAUUUUAAAAUUAUUUUACUCUCUACAAAAAUCAUUUCCAUGCAUUAUUUUUUAAAUAAUAACUCAGUGAGUUUCUUUAAACACUAGUAAUAUGGAUUAUUAUUUUACCAAUAAUACUAUAAUAAAUGGAUAGAGAUUUAAUUCCCUUAUGUGCAAUCAAAGCAAUUAAGUGACUACGAAAUCAUUUAAGAGUAUAUACUGCCAUUUUCUCAUUUAUGACCAUAUCUUUAUUUCAUUAUGAAUUUUAAAGAGCAUAUAUAUUGGUAAGUUACCCAAGACAAUGUUAGAUGUGUGCCAGAGACAACCCCCAAGUGCAAGCUAUGGACUUGGCCCACAAACUUAAACAAAAGUGUUGUUUACUUUCUUCAUACAUAAUUAACUUAUUUGGAGAAUGUAGGUUGAAUAUUGUUCACAGUAACAACCACCUACACGAAUCUUGAAUAUAUAAUAUAGAUAGUAAAAUAGAAACGUUAACAUUAUUAAAUAAUUAAUUAAAUUAUAAAUCAAAAGUUAAUGCAUCAUAAACAACAAUUUAUAAAAUAAAAUAGCAUAAAAGAUUAAACAUAAAUACCUCUAGCCAUUACUUGAACAAGAUGCCAAAAUUCAAAUGUUGUAACACCACUGUCAAGCACGCCAAAUCACCGAUAAGCACGUUAAAUUUAGUUGUACGAAAAAUUAAAAACUACUAAAGUCUUCUAAGCACUCUAAAACCUCACUAGAUGGUAUCUUUUUGUUCUUGAUUUUUCGAGAACCGUAUGUUAAUUAGUAUUUGUAGUGGUAGUUCCCCAUAAAUAACCACUAUCACACAUACAAAUGUGAGAAAGUGGUGGGCAACAAAAUGUGGGCAUGUGAGAACAUAGGAGGCCUUCCUAUGAACCAAUAACAGUUCCAACAUGGUAAAAUUACAUUUGAAUCUCUCAAAAUUUUAUAAUUCAAUCUUGUCCUAUUUAAAAGAAAUUAUGACUUUAUCCUUACCGUGUGCAAUAUAUCUCUCAAUAUUGUCACUCCGCAAAACCAAUAAAAUUUAGUUAAGGGUGAAGAUAAAGAAUAUAAAUGGUUGGAGGUCAAAGAUCUAAAAAUGGGAUGUACCCUUUAUUGAAGAGGACGAGGGUGGAGGGCCUACUCUUUGGAUUCGCCCUGCUCAUAGGGUUUGAGAUUUGAGAUCUCACUGAAAUAAUAAUUUUAGUAAGAACUGAAUUUUUAAGUCUGUAUGAUGUAGUAUGUAAUAAUCAGUACAAAAUAAUUUACUUAUUCCUUAAAUUUAUGUAGCACAAAGUUAAAGUAAUUAAUUGCUAAUGUUUUAAGCAGUAGUUAUGCGUUUCCUUUUUCAAUUAUUACAAAUUGCCUUUGAUAUUGCUUGUAAAUUAUUAGAGGGAGCUGAACACACGCGGUAAAAGCGAGAGCGUAGAUCGGAA